UUCGCCCUUAGAGUUUGAUCCUGGCUCAGGACGAACGCUGGCGGCGUGCCUAACACAUGCAAGUCGAACGGAGUAAUUUCUUCGGAGGUUACUUAGUGGCGAACGGGUGAGUAACGCGUGAGAAACCUGCCUUUCAGUGGGGGACAACAGUUGGAAACGACUGCUAAUACCGCAUAAUGUUAUUUGGGGGCAUCCCUGAAUAACCAAAGAUUUAUUGCUGAAAGAUGGUCUCGCGUCUGAUUAGCUAGAUGGCGGGGUAACGGCCCACCAUGGCGACGAUCAGUAGCCGGUCUGAGAGGAUGAACGGCCACAUUGGGACUGAGAUACGGCCCAGACUCCUACGGGAGGCAGCAGUGGGGAAUAUUGGGCAAUGGGGGAAACCCUGACCCAGCAACGCCGCGUGAAGGAAGAAGGCCUUCGGGUUGUAAACUUCUUUUACCAGGGACGAACACAAUGACGGUACCUGGAGAAAAAGCAACGGCUAACUACGUGCCAGCAGCCGCGGUAAUACGUAGGUUGCAAGCGUUGUCCGGAUUUACUGGGUGUAAAGGGCGUGUAGGCGGAGAUGCAAGUUGGGAGUGAAAUCCCGGGGCUCAACCCCGGAACUGCUUUCAAAACUGCAUCCCUUGAGUAUCGGAGAGGCAAGCGGAAUUCCUAGUGUAGCGGUGAAAUGCGUAGAUAUUAGGAGGAACACCAGUGGCGAAGGCGGCUUGCUGGACGACAACUGACGCUGAGGCGCGAAAGCGUGGGGAGCAAACAGGAUUAGAUACCCUGGUAGUCCACGCUGUAAACGAUGAAUACUAGGUGUGGGAGGACUGACCCCUUCCGUGCCGCAGUUAACACAAUAAGUAUUCCACCUGGGGAGUACGACCGCAAGGUUGAAACUCAAAGGAAUUGACGGGGGCCCGCACAAGCAGUGGAUUAUGUGGUUUAAUUCGACGCAACGCGAAGAACCUUACCAGGAUUUGACAUCCAACUAACGAAGUAGAGAUACAUUAGGUGCCCUUCGGGGAAAGUUGAGACAGGUGGUGCAUGGUUGUCGUCAGCUCGUGUCGUGAGAUGUUGGGUUAAGUCCCGCAACAAGCGCAACCCCUACGGUCAGUAGCCAGCAGGUAAAGCUGGGCACUCUGGCCGGACUGCCAGGGAUAACCUGGAGGAAGGUGGGGAUGACGUCAAAUCAUCAUGCCCCUUAUGACCAGGGCUACACACGUGCUACAAUGGCGUAAACAAAGGGAAGCGGAGCCGUGAGGCCGAGCAAAUCUCAAAAAUAACGUCUCAGUUCGGAUUGUAGUCUGCAACUCGACUACAUGAAGCUGGAAUCGCUAGUAAUCGCGAAUCAGAAUGUCGCGGUGAAUACGUUCCCGGGUCUUGCACUCACCGCCCGUCA
RNAcentral lists this ribosomal RNA (1387 nucleotides) under uncultured bacterium. RNAcentral's name for it is "16S ribosomal RNA". It matches the Rfam family "Bacterial small subunit ribosomal RNA". The record is from RNAcentral.